AACGAACGUUGGCGGCGUGCCUAAUACAUGCAAGUCGAGCGAGAAAACCGGGGCAACUCGGUGAGUACAGCGGCGGAAGGGUGAGUAAUACAUGGACAACGUACCUUCCAGUCGGGGAUAACCCUCCGAAAGGUGGGCUAAUACCGAGAAUAACGGCCGGGGGAGGCAUCUCCUCCGUCCCAAAGACGCAAGUCGCUGGAAGAGCGGUCCAUGGCCUAUCAGCUAGUUGGCGGGGUAACGCCCACCAAGGCAAUGACGGGUAGCCGGACUGAGAGGUUGAACGGCCACACGGGGACUGAGACACGGCCCCGACACCUACGGGUGGCAG
This 328-nucleotide ribosomal RNA is filed under the name uncultured Planctomycetota bacterium. RNAcentral describes it as "bacterial SSU rRNA". It matches the Rfam family "Bacterial small subunit ribosomal RNA", at positions 29 to 351 of the family's 1533-position model. Lineage: Bacteria; Pseudomonadati; Planctomycetota. The record is from RNAcentral.